This 252-nucleotide ribosomal RNA is filed under the name uncultured bacterium. Its description in RNAcentral is "partial 16S ribosomal RNA". It matches the Rfam family "Bacterial small subunit ribosomal RNA", at positions 524 to 776 of the family's 1533-position model. The record is from RNAcentral.
UACGUAGGGGGCAAGCGUUGUCCGGAAUUAUUGGGCGUAAAGCGCGCGCAGGUGGCUAUUUAAGUCUGGUGUUUAAACCUUGGGCUCAACCUGGGGUCGCACUGGAAACUGGAUGGCUUGAGUACAGAAGAGGAAAGUGGAAUUCCACGUGUAGCGGUGAAAUGCGUAGAGAUGUGGAGGAACACCAGUGGCGAAGGCGACUUUCUGGGCUGUAACUGACGCUGAGGCGCGAAAGCGUGGGGAGCAAACAGG